RNAcentral lists this ribosomal RNA (254 nucleotides) under uncultured bacterium. Its description in RNAcentral is "partial 16S ribosomal RNA". It matches the Rfam family "Bacterial small subunit ribosomal RNA", at positions 524 to 776 of the family's 1533-position model. The record is from RNAcentral.
UACGUAGGGGGCAAGCGUUGUCCGGAAUCAUUGGGCGUAAAGAGCUCGUAGGCGGUUCGGUAAGUCGGAUGUGAAAACUUUGGGCUCAACCCAAAGCGUGCAUUCGAUACUGCCGUGACUUGAGUUCGGUAGGGGAGUGGGGAAUUCCUAGUGUAGCGGUGAAAUGCGCAGAUAUUAGGAGGAACACCGGUGGCGAAGGCGCCACUCUGGGCCGAAACUGACGCUGAGGAGCGAAAGCGUGGGUAGCAAACAGG